Molecule: long non-coding RNA, 1231 nt
Filed under: Carassius auratus (goldfish)
Lineage: Eukaryota; Metazoa; Chordata; Actinopteri; Cypriniformes; Cyprinidae
Description: lncRNA (ENSCARG00000023743.1)
Source: RNAcentral
CGUACAAAACAUGAGGUCGUAUUUAGUUAGUAUAUAUAUAUAUAUAUAUAUAUAUAUAUACAUACAUACACUCAAAAAAAUUGAUUUGUGGCACUGUUCGUUUUACACAUAUAUGUUUUGUUAAAACAACACAAAUAUAUUUAGUUUUCCGCCAAAACACAAUUGUAUUGUGCUUAAUCAACUUAAACUGUUUCAUUUUCAAUUUUACUUUAUUAUCAAUCGUUAAACUAACGUAAAGUGUUUAAUUUCGUAAUUCAAAAAAACCCGGAAGUGACGAUUUCCAACGCAUUUGAUGAUGGCGCGAAGGAGAGCAAGAGGUACCAGUCAUGUAAGAAAAUCUAAAGUUUUUCUUGUGUUAAGUCAAAGUCUUUAAUUUCUCUUAGAGUUCCUGUUUUGGGGUGCUUUUGUUUUGCAGUCUUGUAUUGUGUAAUCGGUUUACUGCACCGUUAAUAGAUGAUUUUGAGCGGUUGGGAGAUGUGAAAGCGCAGGACUCUCUCUAAUGUAUUUCAUUUAGUAUAUAUAUGCACUAGGGCUGAAACAAUUACUCGAUAUUAUCGACAAUGUCGACGAUAAAAAAAAAAAAAAAAAAAAAAAUAUAUAUAUAUAUAUAUAUAUAUAUAUAUAUAUAUAUAUAUAUAUAUAUAUAUAUGCAAAAAAAAGCCGGUAAAUGUUUUUGAGUAACGUUAAUGGUUUGAUCUCGUAUGCCUAAUGCAAAAGCCUCCAAUAAUGCAGUUCGACCAGUGUGGCGCUGUAGCGCAAGAUUGUAAUACACUCUCCUGAUUCAAUUCAAAAGAAGAAGAUAGCACUUCAGUUUGAGCAAACCGAGCCGAUCCGAACCUUGGAUGAAUAUAUUUGUGCCGAAUUUGAGACAUCCAGAAUUACCAUAGGCCCAUCAGAAUCAACAAUCUUUGCCAAACUUGAUCUGCACUACAAAACUUAUGAAGAUGUUUGCAUACUGAAGAAGAGUCCUUGGACAAAUACUGAAACCCUCUUGGUGCCCACUACACAGGUAAGAACAACUGCACUCAACACAACCUUGUAUUAAAACGUUAUUCUCUCACUGGACACUGGAAAUUGACAAAAGACAGAUCGAAUAAGAUUAGGUUUAUUAAUACAAUAAAUACAAAAUAUGUGGUACUAGAGACAUUUAUUUUGGAGUCCGUAUUACCAUUUUCAGAGAGUUCCAGUACUGGGAGUGAGGUAUUGAUAAAAGGAAUUGGUUUACAAGUUU